GACGAACGCUGGCGGCGUGCCUAAUACAUGCAAGUUGAGCGCUGAAGGUUGGUACUUGUACCAACUGGAUGAGCAGCGAACGGGUGAGUAACGCGUGGGGAAUCUGCCUUUGAGCGGGGGACAACAUUUGGAAACGAAUGCUAAUACCGCAUAAAAACUUUAAACACAAGUUUUAAGUUUGAAAGAUGCAAUUGCAUCACUCAAAGAUGAUCCCGCGUUGUAUUAGCUAGUUGGUGAGGUAAAGGCUCACCAAGGCGAUGAUACAUAGCCGACCUGAGAGGGUGAUCGGCCACAUUGGGACUGAGACACGGCCCAAACUCCUACGGGAGGCAGCAGUAGGGAAUCUUCGGCAAUGGACGAAAGUCUGACUGAGCAACGCCGCGUGAGUGAAGAAGGUUUUCGGAUCGUAAAACUCUGUUGGUAGAGAAGAACGUUGGUGAGAGUGGAAAGCUCAUCAAGUGACGGUAACUACCCAGAAAGGGACGGCUAACUACGUG
RNAcentral lists this ribosomal RNA (497 nucleotides) under uncultured bacterium. Its description in RNAcentral is "partial 16S ribosomal RNA". It matches the Rfam family "Bacterial small subunit ribosomal RNA", at positions 28 to 507 of the family's 1533-position model. The record is from RNAcentral.